RNAcentral lists this ribosomal RNA (1424 nucleotides) under uncultured bacterium. Its description in RNAcentral is "bacterial SSU rRNA". It matches the Rfam family "Bacterial small subunit ribosomal RNA". The record is from RNAcentral.
AGAGUUUGAUCAUGGCUCAGAGUGAACGCUAGUAGUAUGCUUUAUACAUGCGAGUUAAAUGUUUUUUAAACAUGGCGGACGGGUGAGUAAUGUAUAAGAAACUGCCUUUUAGUUUGGGAUUUUAAAUACCAGAAAAAGAUUGAUUAUCGCUAAAAGAGGUGCUUAUAUAAGAUUAGGUAGUAGGUAAGGUAAAAGCUUACCUAGCCAACGAUUUUUAGUUGAUUUGAGAGAGUGAUCAACCACACUGGGACUGAGACAAGGCCCAGGCUUCUUUUUGAAGCCAGCAGUAAGGAAUAUUGGACAAUGAGCGAAAGCUUGAUCCAGCAAUACUACGUGAGGGAUGACAGCUUAUUUUGGUUGUAAACCUCUUUUAUUAAGGAAGAUAAUGACUUACUUAAAAAAAAAGUCCCGGCUAAUUUCGUGCCAGCAGCCGCGGUAAUACGAAAGGGGCGAGCGUUAUUCAGUUUGAUUUGGUGUAAAGGGUUCGUAGGCGGUAAUAAGGUUGUUUAAAAUAAAAUUGAGAGACUCAAUCUCUUUUAAAGCUGUUAAAAACACUUUUACUUGAGUAUAAAAUAGGAUUGUAGAAUUUUAAAGGGAGAAAUAAAAUUUGAAGAGCUUUAAAGGAAUGUCAAAAGCGAAGGCAACAAUCUAGUUUAUAACUGACGUUGAGGAACGAAAGAAUAGGGAGCAAAUAGGAUUAGAGACCCUAGUAGUCUAUUCUGUAAACGAUGAGUGCUCGUAUUUGGAAUAUUAUAUUUUGGAUACUAAGUUAACACGUGAAGCACUCCACCUGAGGAGUAUAGUCGCAAGGCUGGAACUCAAAGGAAUUGACGGGGGCCUAUACAAGUGGUGGAGCAUGUGGUUUAAUGCGAUAAUACGCGCGAAAUCUUACCAGCUCUUGAUUUUUUAAAUUUUGAUUUUGAUAUUGGUUGAUUUUAAAAUUUAUUAACAGGUGUUGCAUGGCUGUCGACAGCUCGUGUUGUGAAAUGUUUGGUUAAAUCCUUUAACGAGCGCAACUCUCUUUUUUAGUUGCUACUUUUUUGAAGAGUACUCUAAAAAAAUUAUUUAUGAUGAGUAAAUGGAAGGAGAAUUACGUCAAGUCCUCAUGGCCCUUAUGAGCUGGGCUACACACGUGCUACAAUGGCAACUACAAAACGUAGCAAUAAUGUGAAUUGGAGCAAAUCGUCGAAACGUUGUCUUAGUUCGGAUUGUUGACUGUAACUCGUCAACAUGAAGUUGGAAUCACUAGUAAUCGUAAAUCAGAAUGUUACGGUGAAUUUGUACCUAGGCCUUGUACACACCGCCCGUCACAUGCCGGGAGUCAGUUUUACUCUAAGAAAAGUGAGGUAAUCCUUAGAAUUUUUUUUAAGGAAGCUUUUUUUCCAAAGCGAAAUUGAUAACUGGGAUGAAGUCGUAACAAGGUA